GAUCCCUCACCGGCUCAACCUCGGGCCGGGUUCAAACUCUCUGCUACUGUUCUUUGCUGUUCUUAGAAAAUCCACUUCUGGCCAUAGUUUAAUCCCAAAAUUUUGUAAUGAUGGCCGACAAAAGCAAGAUUUUGUUGAUUGGCGGCACAGGUUACAUUGGCAAAUUCAUAGUGGAAGCAAGCGCAAGAGCUGGUCAUCCCACCUUUGUUCUUCUCAGACACUCCACGCUCUCCAAUCCUCAAAGAUCCAUUAUCAUAAACAGCUUCAAGAAUUUAGGUGUCAAAUUUCUCAUUGUUAGUAUUUUCUUUUGGGUUCAGAGUAGAAGUAGAUUAUUAAUAUCGUUUAAGUUGAUUUUCUUUCAUUCUGAUUUUGGCAUGGUUGGUAAUUUUUGACAACCCACAAAGUAAAUGUUCAGAAUCCUUUCAUCAGAGGAAUUUUAUUGAAAUUUGGUUUUUCUGUGGAUUUGAUAAGAAGGUCUGGGCUUGUUGAUUGGCAACCCAGUAGAGCAUUUGAGACUUUGUCAAAUUGUCAUCUUGAUUAGCUAGUGGUUUUUGUAUGUUAUGCAGGGAGAUUUAAAUGAUAACCAGAGCUUGGUGAAGGCAGUCAAGCAAGUGGACGUGGUGAUUUCUACAGUAGGUCAUGCUAUGUUGCCGGAUCAAGUCAAGAUCAUUGCUGCCAUUAAAGAAGCUGGUAAUGUUCAGGUAUGCUAUUUGGGUUUCAUCUUUCUAUUUCGUCAUGACUUAUGCUGGCCAAGCAUUCCUCUAGGUUGUGUAUUGGACAAAAAAUGUUGAAAUCACGAGAUUUUGAUGUUGAUAAUGCAUAUGUUUUCUAUGAUUAUAUAUUUAUAUCAAUUUUCUAUGAUUAUAUACUUAUAUCAAUUAGAACAAACCAGCCCAUAAUCUUGGCUCAAGGAAAAUAGUGGACCUUUGAUCAAAAGCACAUGAACCAACAGAAGCUUCUUGGAAGCAUGGUGGGUACAGUGUUAACUUGCUUAGAAAAAAUUGUCUUCGACAAUGGAAUCUGAUCAGUGGGAUUUCAAGUAUUUACAUAACCUUCUUCUUUCUGAAGAAAUGAUUCAUCAAAAUAAUAAGCUACCAUUAAUAUUUACACAUAUGAGAUCACCAAGCGUUCAGUGGUUCUCUAUUCAAUCCUUUUUCUUCUUGUCAUUGCUGGAUAACUUGUUUGGACACAUCUUCUCUUUGUUUCCUGAGUGAGGUAUAGACAGAUUUCAAAAAGGUCAAAUCUUUAAUGAUUCCAUCAUACAUGAUUGAAUUGUGAAACUUCUGGAUAAGUAUCCUAUGUUUGAACUGAAAUCUUUUUUGUUAAAGAAUCUCUUUCUAGUCGCAUGAGUAUAAAUGGCCAUUUGCUAAAGUUUUGAGUAGGCACAAAUUUGAAAAAUAGUGAGGCGUGUGCCAUGAGUGAAGCAAACUUCUUACUUGCAUAUGAGAGUAUUUGUUUGUGUGAGUGUAUUUUGUGAUUGUACUAGAUAAAGCACUAAACAAAGUUGAGUGUAAUUGAGUUAAGUUUUCAUGAGUGUUCGAGAAAUUAGUUGUAUUUUUUUUUCUUUCCAUUAAUAGUGCAUUGAUUUGUUGAAUAGGCCAAUUGCGGAACCGCUUAAAACUUUGUAUUCUGAUUAUUUUGUCAUUGUGAGUAUAUUAAGUGUUGAUUGAAAAUAUGUAAUAAAACUAAAAAUGUGUCAAUUUUUAAUGAACUUUAAGUUCUCAUCUAUAUUGAUGAAUCUAAUUAAUUAAAGAAUUGGCUUAAUUUUAUUGAAGCAAUUUAAAGUGAAAUCACAUCCAAAUCCUCCUUUUGAAAUUUUUCUAUCCAAACUUAGCACUAGAUUUACUAUCUCUAUAUCUUUUUCUAGGAUGGGAGAAAUUAGCUAAAUGUGUUUAGUUUGUUUGAGAUUUAAUGAGCUCUUUGGCUGUCUUAUGAAAAGAACUCAUUCUACCCAGAGGUUCUUGCCUUCCGAGUUUGGAAAUGAUGUGGAUCGCAUUCAUCCUGUUGAACCUGCAAAAACAGCAUACGACACCAAGGUUAAAAUCCGGCGAAUUAUUGAGUCUGAAGAUAUUCCAUACACCUAUGUGUCAUGCAACUUCUUUGCCGGCUACUUUCUUAGUAAUUUAGCACAGCCUGGAGCCAUUAUUCCCCCAAGAUUCACAGUUGAUAUACUAGCCCCAAGAUUCACAGUUGAUAUACUAGGAAAUGGAACUGCAAAAGGUAAACGCAGAAUGAACUAGAGUAAACAGUAGAGUAACCUAGCUGAUGCAUUCUCUUUGUAUAUCAUAUUCAGUUUCGGCACAUCUGAUGAAGACAUCUUCUAAAACAAGCACAUCAUAUUAGAGAUUAUUCUAUUUACCUAUUCAUAAAGUAUCAGUUGUAAUUUUGUUUUGCGGGAUGACUAGCAGAACAAAUGCGGAAUAUUACUUUGAGCUCAAAUAUAUUUUUUUAGAUGCUUACUUAUCUUUUGGUCAACAGCAAUUUUCAACGAGGAAGCUGAUAUUGGCACUUACACAGUGAGAGCAGUCGAUGAUCCAAGAACCUUGAAUAAAAUCCUCUAUAUUAGGCCUCCUAAGAACAUCUACUCAUUUAAUGAUCUUGUGUCCUUGUGG
RNAcentral lists this unclassified non-coding RNA (2612 nucleotides) under Hevea brasiliensis (rubber tree). Lineage: Eukaryota; Viridiplantae; Streptophyta; Magnoliopsida; Malpighiales; Euphorbiaceae. The record is from RNAcentral.